RNAcentral lists this ribosomal RNA (468 nucleotides) under uncultured bacterium. RNAcentral describes it as "partial 16S ribosomal RNA". It matches the Rfam family "Bacterial small subunit ribosomal RNA", at positions 28 to 507 of the family's 1533-position model. The record is from RNAcentral.
GACGAACGCUGGCGGCGUGCUUAACACAUGCAAGUCGAACGGAAAGGCCCUGCUUUUGUGGGGUGCUCGAGUGGCGAACGGGUGAGUAACACGUGAGUAACCUGCCCUUGACUUUGGGAUAACUUCAGGAAACUGGGGCUAAUACCGGAUAGGAGCUCCUGCUGCAUGGUGGGGGUUGGAAAGUUUCGGCGGUUGGGGAUGGACUCGCGGCUUAUCAGCUUGUUGGUGGGGUAGUUGCUUACCAAGGCUUUGACGGUUAGCCGGCCUGAGAGGGUGACCGGCGACAUUGGGACUGAGAUACGGCCCAGACGCCUACGGGAGGCAGCAGUGGGGAAUAUUGCACAAUGAGCGGAAGCCUGAGGCAGCAAUGCCGCGUGCGGGAUGACGGCCUUCGGGUUGUAAACCGCUUUCGCCUGUGACGAAGAGUGAGUGACGGUAAUGGGUAAAGAAGCACCGGCUAACUACGUG